RNA transcript from Lemur catta (Ring-tailed lemur), 1092 nucleotides. It is a transcript of the gene named centromere protein U-like, with no coding region annotated. The transcript has 2 exons. NCBI's taxonomy places the organism in Eukaryota, Metazoa, Chordata, Mammalia, Primates, Lemuridae. The record is from RefSeq and is a predicted model, not a curated record.
AUGUUCAAAGAACAUUUUAGGAAGAACACAUUCCGUGAAAGAUAUCCUCCUUUACACAGGACAGCUGUAUAUCCUGAUGAAGAAGAAUUCUCCAAACACUGUGGAUUAUCUAUCCCUUCAACUCCUCCAGGAAAAGAAGCAAGAAGUUCAAACACUUCUGAAAGUGAAGCAAGUGAAAAGGAAUCUGUAAAAAUUAGUGCAAAAAAGCCAGGAAGAAAAUGAAAGCCCAUAGUGAUGAGUUUGAAGGUGCUGAAGAAAGUGAUAUAAGAAGAAAAGUUAAAUCAGCAGAGAAAAUAGUUACACAACAACAUGAAUGUAUUCCAACUGCAGCAUCUUCAGAACUUUCAGAGAAACCAGCUGAAUUGGUCACUCCUAAAAAGAUAGGAGCACUUAGUGCCCAGUCCUUUGUCGGAAAACAAACCCUGGCAACAGAAAGUCGACCAAAAACUCAGGAAAGAGGGAAGAUGUCUUGUGGCAAAAGGGAGAAAUCAAUAAGUGAAGCUAGAGAUUCAGAUACUUUCAACAUUGUACAUAGUUGGUGUCUAGAAGGAAAGAAAACCAGUGACAUCAUGGAGCUGGAUAUUGUUUUGCCUGCAUUCAAGAAAAUCCUCCUAGAGUAUAAACAAAGAAUGGAAUCCAAAAUUUGUAUGGAAACCAUCAACAAAUUUCAUUUUAAUAUUAAAGAAGAACAAAUAAAAAUACCUGAAGAUACCCAGAUGUUGAAAAAACUGAAAAGGAAAGAUGCUAAAGUUAGAGCUACAGCUGAAACAACUACAAACAUAGGAUGAACUUAAGGAGAGAAAUUCUUCCCUUAGGAAUGCAACAUAUUCCUCAUCUAGUUUCAAACAGCUUUAUUAAGAUUAUUCAGAUGUUCAAGAGAAAGAUCAAACGUAAAGGAAACAUGAUUUAUCCAGCCUUACAGCUCUGUUAUUUAACACAAGAACCGUUUGGGGAGCUGAAAACCAUCUGCAAAAUAUCAACCAUCAGUUAGAGAAGCUCCUUGACCAGGAAUGAGAAAACCAGUCUACCAAAAUGUGCCUAUAUAAAGAUUAGUCUCAUGCUAUUGUCUGUUUCCUUCUGAAACUGUACCUU